Molecule: long non-coding RNA, 429 nt
Organism: Gadus macrocephalus (Pacific cod)
Lineage: Eukaryota; Metazoa; Chordata; Actinopteri; Gadiformes; Gadidae
Exons: 2
Source: RefSeq, a predicted model, not a curated record
ACCUCAUGGAGACUUCCCUAGUCUCCACAAGUUUUCAGCACACAGAGCAUACUGGGGACAGAAACUCCAAGACAGCCAAGAACAACUGCUGUCUCAUGUCUUGGAUGAGACCAAAAGUCACACUCAGCACCUUGCAAUGGUGAAUAACAUCAUCAACAUCAUCGCUUUGACUUUUGGACUCUGGGUUUGCAGCGGGACAUGGAGGGAACGGUAGGCAUAGAGAAUGUGCUGUGCUGAUAUGGUUUAUGUAAUAUUUUUCAAAAUCUUUCAAUAAUUUGUGUUUAUGUGUUCUACUAGAUCCUGAACUCUUGUCUCAAAAUGAUUGAGAAGGUAGUGUAGCUCCUGUGAAAUAUUUAAUUCAAAAUUAUUGGAUAGUCUAGUUCAAUAGUCAAUAUAUUUUGACAGUAAGAGAUUUAGCAAACUUUCUCU